GAUGAACGCUAGCGGCAGGCUUAACACAUGCAAGUCGAGGGGUAACAGGGGAAAGCUUGCUUUUUUGCUGACGACCGGCGCACGGGUGAGUAACGCGUAUAGAACCUACCUUUUACAGGGGAAUAGCCCAGAGAAAUUUGGAUUAAUACCCUAUAGUAUUAUUGAGUGGCAUCAUUUAAUAAUUAAACAUUUAUGGGUAAAAGAUGGCUAUGCGUUCUAUUAGCUAGAUGGUAAGGUAACGGCUUACCAUGGCAACGAUAGAUAGGGGUCCUGAGAGGGAGAUCCCCCACACUGGUACUGAGACACGGACCAGACUCCUACGGGAGGCAGCAGUGAGGAAUAUUGGACAAUGGAGGCAACUCUGAUCCAGCCAUGCCGCGUGCAGGAAGACGGCCCUAUGGGUUGUAAACUGCUUUUAUACGGGAAGAAACCCAACUACGUGUAGUUGGUUGACGGUACCGUAAGAAUAAGCACCGGCUAACUCCGUGCCAGCAGCCGCGGUAAUACGGAGGGUGCAAGCGUUAUCCGGAAUCAUUGGGUUUAAAGGGUCCGUAGGCGGGCUAAUAAGUCAGGGGUGAAAUCCAAACAGCUUAACUGUUGAACUGCCUUUGAUACUGUUAGUCUUGAAUUAUAUGGAAGUAGAUAGAAUGUGUAGUGUAGCGGUGAAAUGCUUAGAGAUUACACAGAAUACCGAUUGCGAAGGCAGUCUACUACGUAUA
This 719-nucleotide ribosomal RNA is filed under the name Lutibacter sp. RNAcentral describes it as "bacterial SSU rRNA". It matches the Rfam family "Bacterial small subunit ribosomal RNA", at positions 28 to 737 of the family's 1533-position model. The record is from RNAcentral. Lineage: Bacteria; Pseudomonadati; Bacteroidota; Flavobacteriia; Flavobacteriales; Flavobacteriaceae.